This 133-nucleotide long non-coding RNA is filed under the name Salvator merianae (Argentine black and white tegu). RNAcentral describes it as "lncRNA (ENSSMRG00000015990.1)". The record is from RNAcentral. Lineage: Eukaryota; Metazoa; Chordata; Lepidosauria; Squamata; Teiidae.
AGCUGACAGUAAAGAAGUAUGUUUGUGUAAGGGGGGAACUUUUGAAAGUAACUGCUGGGCAUUCUUUCAACACAUCAGAACAGUGUCCUCGUAAGUAUCAUGGCUUCCAUUUCUAUAUCGUAGCUUAAGUGUU